Drosophila sulfurigaster albostrigata is the source of this 1636-nucleotide long non-coding RNA. RefSeq lists it as uncharacterized. The record is from RefSeq and is a predicted model, not a curated record. Lineage: Eukaryota; Metazoa; Arthropoda; Insecta; Diptera; Drosophilidae. The transcript is spliced from 2 exons.
UAAUGCUGUUACUUAAAUCCCCAAACUUUUCAUUUCAACUCAGAAAUAAAUACUAUUAAACCAUUUUUCUAUUUUCCCAUAUAAAUUUCUCUUGAAGUAAGACAAAAGUAUAAGUAAAACUUUGGGAAUUAUUAUGGCAAAUAUUUUGCUAAAGUUUGUUUGGCACAAAGACAUCAAGACACCGUGAUAUGACAACAUUGCUUAAACUGAAAUAAAACCCCAAGAAAAGAAAACGGAAGCAAAAAGAAGAACUCUAAUGCGAGACAGUGUGUCAUCAAAAAUGCAUCACAUGCAGCAGCGCAUUUGCAACACCUUUUCGUUUGCCCCAUUUCUGUUGCACACAGUGUGUUUCUUUUAGUUUUAUUGCCAUAUGAUUUCAAGCGAAUUGCGUUCGAGAAUUUGCCAAGGAACGUGCUCAAAUGUGGUAUUAUGUGUUUAGCUUAAAGUUGGUAAAAUGUUUGAGAAAAAACACAAAAAAAUCUGCUGUUUAUGCUCGCACUUGAAAGAACUUUAAACGGUCAACGGAUGUUUAGUCGAGAGCAAAGAAGAAAAUGCAGCAAUCUGUGAAACAUUGUGCGAAUUAACUUGGCCAGCAACAACAAACAAAAUUUCUAGGGGACACAUGCUGAGGCAACGCCUUCGAUUUCGAUUCGUAGCGAUUCGAUUCGUUGUGCAAAUUGUCUAAUGGGGCAGCAGUCGAUCUCCUCAUCUGCUUGCUCCGCCCUUCCCCCUGUCGACUAUCUUAUUCAUGAAGUGCAAAUUGGCAAACGAAAAAAAAGCAAGCAAAAGAAAUGGCAAGGCAAGUAGAAGAUUUGUGUGGCAAGUCUGGCAGUAACUACAGCUGCAGCAGAGGUGCUUGGCGAGAGACAUGCGGAAAUAACAAGCAUUUAAGUGAAUUUAGUGAAAGAACACAUCAGCAACAAAUCAGCAGGCGACAAACUGGAGGAGGGAAGACUCUGAGUCUGAGUCUGUGAUAACCGAAGAGGCCAAAAAUAAAACUCGAGCUAGGAAAAGUGUCGGGCAGACCUUCACUUAGUUUGGGGUUAAUGUUUGCACAUCGAUGUUGCCCUCCACCUUCCAUCUCCAUCUCCUUCUGCUGUUCUGCUGCUGUUUGUUGUUGUCAUUUUACACUAUUCCACUGUGGCUGGCUUACAUGUGCCACAAGAGACUAGACAAUGUUUGUGUGUGCUUGGUUGUGGCAGGAAAUGGCAAAUAUAAAUCGUUGAGAGCUGCGACGGAUUUGUGGAUUUGUGGACGGGCAACAACAACAGCUGGCAUCCACAACAGCAAAAUCUCUUUGACAUUGGACAUUGCCUUUUUGCAGCAUUGAACUUUGCUAUUCAAAACUUGUGGCAGCUUUGACAGAAACAAAUCGCCAGCUAACUGAACCAAUGACUUGGAAGAGAUCCCACUUGAAAUUAUGACAUGCAAUUAGCAAAGAUUUGCUCAGCGCUUAAAUAAACAAGAGACUCUUUUUAACUACAAAUUCUAAACAAUUUUUGAAUGCAGCUGAUAAGUGCGACAAGAUAAUUACAUUUUUAUAUAAUCGUAGUACUUUUAUUAUGUUGAAAAUAUGUUGCUUAAAAGUAGUUUUUUUUAUUAUUUAUGUUAAGCUAAAAAUAUAUUUUAAAAAGUA